UAUCAUAUAGCGUAGUCUGAUAAGCAUUUUAGCCAGUGUUAAAGUAGUCCAGUUCAAAACAUUUCUCUGAACAAGUCACACAAGGCCAUUUAGAAGACGUGCAACAAGUGACUCAGAAUAAUUGUCGGAGAUGAGCAUCAGCCCUCAUCUUUCACUCACACAGCUGUGCGUAAAAGCGCGCAAACGUUGCGUAAAGGGACCUCGGCACAAGAACCGUGGAUGUUGCUCUCUUCAUCUGAAACUCAGCAGUGAGGUGUGAUCCACUUGCACACAGAUAUUUAUUAUCUGUGUUCCUGGCUAAGUACACACAGUCUGCAGUGAUGGAAACGCUUAAACUUGUUUUCAUUUCUGUGCUGCUUCUGUCAAACGUUUUCUGUCAAGAUAUGGAUGCUGACAUCUGGAGAGAAGACAUCGAGGAGGAAAAAUGGCCAAACUCUAAAGAAAUUCAAGACAUUUUAGUGAGAAUGAUCAGAAAACCAGGAUCUCGCCAACAUCUUGGAUUUAUGGGGAGAAAGGAGUCUGGAAAAACACGGACGGCACGUAAACGGCACAAAUUUCAAACCUUUGUGGGUCUGAUGGGGAAGAGAAGCUCUUGGGAUUAAGGAGCUCUGUGACCCGGCGUCGAUUCAAGGCUGAAGAUCGGAAAGAAAAACUAAAUUUCCAUCCGUGUGAUUUGUCUCCAUUCAACUUUUAUAGUCUGUACAUAUUAUUUAAUGUAUAAAAUAUAUAACAUAUAUAACAAAAAAUAUAACAUUUAGUGCCAUUGAAAAUCGCCCUAACACUUAAAGUGCACAGAGCGACACCUAGUGGUAAAACAGUGUCCUAUAUUGCCACUAUAGAAAUCAUUUAAUAAUUCAAAAUUACCAGAGCACGUGUUUAAAUUGAGGGGCUUUAUAAAAAAAUUAAAUAAAAAGCAUUAUUUUAUGUUUAUGUUUCAGUCACAAAACUGGUGUUCUCCCCACUUCAUAAUGAGCACGUUUUCUCAUAAUAAAUCCAUCUUACUCUUCAAUAUCACAGGUUUAUUAAGUGACUUUGUACAUUACAAAUGAAAAAUAAAAUUAAAAAUACAGAGAUGGAGUACAUAGCCAAAGCAAAA
Haplochromis burtoni (Burton's mouthbrooder) is the source of this 1096-nucleotide long non-coding RNA. RefSeq lists it as uncharacterized. NCBI's taxonomy places the organism in Eukaryota, Metazoa, Chordata, Actinopteri, Cichliformes, Cichlidae. The record is from RefSeq and is a predicted model, not a curated record. The transcript is spliced from 5 exons.